RNAcentral lists this ribosomal RNA (448 nucleotides) under uncultured organism. RNAcentral describes it as "partial 16S ribosomal RNA". It matches the Rfam family "Bacterial small subunit ribosomal RNA", at positions 333 to 797 of the family's 1533-position model. The record is from RNAcentral.
ACACUCCUACGGGAGGCAGCAGUGGGGAAUAUUGGACAAUGGGCGCAAGCCUGAUCCAGCCAUGCCGCGUGAGUGAUGAAGGCCCUAGGGUUGUAAAGCUCUUUCACCGGUGAAGAUAAUGACGGUAACCGGAGAAGAAGCCCCGGCUAACUUCGUGCCAGCAGCCGCGGUAAUACGAAGGGGGCUAGCGUUGUUCGGAUUUACUGGGCGUAAAGCGCACGUAGGCGGACUAUUAAGUCAGGGGUGAAAACCCGGGGCUCAACCCCGGAACUGCCUUUGAUACUGGUAUGCUUGAGUUCGGGAGAGGUGAGUGGAAUUCCGAGUGUAGAGGUGAAAUUCGUAGAUAUUCGGAGGAACACCAGUGGCGAAGGCGGCUCACUGGCUCGAUACUGACGCUGAGGUGCGAAAGCGUGGGGAGCAAACAGGAUUAGAAACCCCUGUAGUCCCA